GCCAGUGUUACAUUAAAAGAAUGAAUACCAAUUCUGUCAGAGUUAAGGCAUGUGAGCUUUGGAAAGGAAUAGGGACAGAGUUUGCUUCCAAGACAUACAAGUUCUGCUAACAAAAUUGGUCCUGUUGAUAGCAGUUUAUUUUUGGUGGGGGGGGGGGGGGGGGGGGGGAGGGAUGGGACAGCCUUGUCACCACCAGGCCACCUCAGGAGACUCCACCAUCCAGCAGUCAGCACCAGAUCUGCUGACUGCUGAUUUAGCUUCACCAGAUUACCUCCAGUUCUUUUCAGCGACCCUUUGGCAUCAGGUAGGUCCAUUCUCUGCAUUAAUCUUCAAAGUGGCAUCUCUCCCUCUUCUGUUGGGGGCCUUUCCUACACUCAAUGCCUCCCUUCUUUUUGCCAGCACUUCAGCAACAAACCAGACUCCUUUCCCUUUCUGAUGGCAGACAGUAAGGCCCUCCUCACUUCAACACACCAACCUCAACAUGAAUCACACUGUGCCCUUGGGAGGCCAGAAGACCCUUACUCAUGGGUCCCAACUACCUGGCAGACAAAUGGGGGUAAUGCCUCCAGAACUAUCUCACUGUCCUAGGGCCUUAGAAAUGCAGAUUAGCAAAAUGGAUCCAUACCCCUAGGGAGAGAGGUAUGGCUGAAUUUGCCCCUUGAAACCCAGAAGACAGAGGUAAGGGACAAGAGUCCUGGGACAAGGUCGGAUUUGCUUAAACUUCAAGAAUAUGGAGUUCCUCCUACCUAUCUUUUCACCCAGAUUAUCAACAAAGGAUUUAAAAUUAAAAGAGUUCAUUCUCGGGAGAGAAGGGGGACCCUGUAUUUGAGAGGAGAAAAGUGGAGUGGAAGAUAAUUAAUUAAAAGACAAGAUGACAGAUCUCCCCUAAAUUUAUAAAUUCAAUGCUAUACCAAUCAAAAUAUCAAGAGGAUUUUUUAUUAUUUUGUCAAAAUGAUACCAGAGCUCAUCAAGACAAAUAAACUUGAGAAUUACCAGGAAAAUUCUAGGGGGAAAAAACUAAAGAAGUACCCUCAGUCCCUCUUUAGUUUUCAGAUAGUCAAUAUAAAGCUAAAUAAUGAAGCUUGGUGCUAACGGGGAGGAUUAGUUAAGAUGAUGAUACAUUUAAGGGGCAUAUAAUUUUACUUGGCACAUUGAAGCACUCUAAAAAAUUAGCCAUUAUUACUUUUAUAUUAUAACAAUUUGAAAACUGUGUAAAAAUGGAUUAUUCAAUAAAUGAUACUGAUCUAGCUGGCUAGCCAUUUGAGAAAAAAAUUAAGUGAAUCCCCACCACACUCUAUACCCCAAAAUAUAAAUUCCAGAUGAAUGCAAAAUUUAAACGUAAGUAAUGAAACCAUAAAAGAACUAAAUGACAAGAAAAAUGAGCUGUUUUUCCAAUCCUGGAGUAAGGCCUUUCUCAGGAUCCCUGUUAGCCUUUAUAUAUAUAAUACCUUAGUGCAAAUUAGAAAAUGAAGGUCCUUCUCCAGGACUCUUUCCAUCUGUCAGAAUACUUUCAUAAUUUACUGAUUUUGUUGGAAUAAAACAUUUUACUGGGGCCAGCCUGGUGGUGCAGCGGUUAAGUGCGCCCAUUCCACUUUGGUGGCCCGGGGUUCGCUGGUUCGGAUCCUGGGUGCGGACAUGGCACCACUCGGCAAGCCAUGCUGUGGCAGGUGCCCCACAUAUAAAGUAGAGGAAGAUUGGCAGCAGAUUUUAGCUCAGGGCUAAUCUUUCUCAAAUAAAUAAAUAAAUAAAUAAAAUAAAAACAUUUUACUGCAAUUCACUAUAUAUAAAUCUAUGAUAUCUAUGAUUUGAAUAGAAGCUCCUAGGGUAGUUGGUGUACAACUGACCUGACUUUUCUAAAAAUUAUUUAAUUAAAAAAAAAGAGCUGGGGCCGGCCCGAUGGCCAAGUGGUUAAGUUUGCACACUCUGCUUUGGUGGCCCAGGGUUUCGCUGGUUUGGAUCCUGGGCGUAGACAUGGCACUGCUCAUCAAGCCACAGAGAGGUGGCAUCCUACAUGCCACAACUAGAAGGACCUACAACUAAAAUGCACAACUAUGUACUGGGUGGAUUUGGGGAGAAAAAGCAGAAAAAAAAAAGAAGAUUGGCAGGAGUUGUUAGCUCAGGUGCCAAUCUUAAAAAAAAAAAAAGAGCUAUAAGAAAGAGAAGAAGCUACUGACAUAGAGAAAAGAAAGAUAAAUCUUACAAAUUCAUUUUUGCUAUGCUUUUGUAGUGUCGGCCUUCUCUAAUAUGACCAUGUUUUACUUUCAUAUUUUAAAAUAAUUUUAAGAAAAAGGAAGAAACACUAAGGAGCUCAGGAAGCAUCUCAAGAAACUAGUAUUCCUCCCACCCAACAGUCUCCUCAUAAAGUCAGCAGGAGGAGUAACACACAGAUGUGUCCAAUUCCCAUACUCCCCCAGCAGAGCUUACAUUGAACAAUAAAGCAGGGAUGGGUGUAAAACGCUCAAUGUGGAUCAUAGACAGAAGGUCCGGAAGAUGGCCCUCACGAGACCCCACAAAGAACAACCUAGAAGGACAAAAAAUGUGUCAGCAGGAUCCUUUUACUCAGCCACGCAACCACACUUCUCACUCAGACAAACUAGGCUCAGAGCCCCAGAAGAAAGCAGGAGGUAG
This is a long non-coding RNA of Equus caballus (horse), 2628 nucleotides long. The record is from Ensembl. NCBI's taxonomy places the organism in Eukaryota, Metazoa, Chordata, Mammalia, Perissodactyla, Equidae.